Molecule: ribosomal RNA, 292 nt
Filed under: uncultured bacterium
Lineage: Bacteria
Description: partial 16S ribosomal RNA
Rfam family: Bacterial small subunit ribosomal RNA
Source: RNAcentral
GUGUCAGCAGCCGCGGUAAUACGGAGGGGGCUAGCGUUGUUCGGAAUUACUGGGCGUAAAGCGCACGUAGGCGGCUUUGUAAGUUAGAGGUGAAAGCCCGGAGCUCAACUCCGGAACUGCCUUUAAGACUGCAUCGCUUGAACGUCGGAGAGGUAAGUGGAAUUCCGAGUGUAGAGGUGAAAUUCGUAGAUAUUCGGAAGAACACCAGUGGCGAAGGCGACUUACUGGACGACUGUUGACGCUGAGGUGCGAAAGCGUGGGGAGCAAACAGGAUUAGAUACCCUCGUAGUCC